AACGAACGCUGGCGGCAGGCUUAACACAUGCAAGUCGAACGCAUCGCAAGAUGAGUGGCAGACGGGUGAGUAACGCGUGGGAACAUACCCUUUUCUACGGAAUAGCUCUGGGAAACUGGAACUAAUACCGUAUACGCCCUUUACUGGUGGACAGUUUAGGGGAAAGAUUUAUCGGGGAAGGAUUGGCCCGCGUUGGAUUAGCUAGUUGGUGGGGUAACGGCCUACCAAGGCGACGAUCCAUAGCUGGUCUGAGAGGAUGAUCAGCCACAUUGGGACUGAGACACGGCCCAAACUCCUACGGGAGGCAGCAGUGGGGAAUAUUGGACAAUGGGCGCAAGCCCGAUCCAGCCAUGCCGCGUGAGUGAUGAAGGCCUUAGGGUUGUAAAGCUCUUUCACCGAUGAAGAUAAUGACGGUAGUCGGAGAAGAAGCCCCGGCUAACUUCGUGCCAGCCGCCGCCGUAA
This 462-nucleotide ribosomal RNA is filed under the name uncultured bacterium. Its description in RNAcentral is "partial 16S ribosomal RNA". It matches the Rfam family "Bacterial small subunit ribosomal RNA", at positions 29 to 523 of the family's 1533-position model. The record is from RNAcentral.